This 351-nucleotide ribosomal RNA is filed under the name uncultured bacterium. RNAcentral's name for it is "partial 16S ribosomal RNA". It matches the Rfam family "Bacterial small subunit ribosomal RNA", at positions 338 to 704 of the family's 1533-position model. The record is from RNAcentral.
CCUACGGGGGGCAGCAGUGGGGAAUAUUGGGCAAUGGGCGCAAGCCUGACCCAGCAACGCCGCGUGAAGGAAGAAGGCGUUCGGGUUGUAAACUUCUUGUAAGAGGGAAGAGCAGAAGACGGUACCUCUUGAAUAAGCCACGGCUACCUACGUGCCAGCAGCCGCGGUAAUACGGAGGUGGCAAGCGUUGUCCGGAUUUACGGGGUGUAAAGGGCGUGCAGCCGGGAAGACAAGUCAGAGGUGAAAUCCCGCGGCUCAACCGCGGAACUGCAUUUGAAACGGUUUUUCUUUCGUACCGGAGCGGUCCUCGGCCUUCCUUGUGUCGCGGUGCAAUGCGUCGAUCUCCGGACG